GAUGAACGCUAGCGGCAGGCAUAAUACAUGCAAGUUGAACGGGAUUCAGGUAGCAAUAUUUGAUGAGAGUGGCGCACGGGUGCGUAACACGUAUGCAACUUACCUUAAACUGGGAGAUAGCCCGUGGAAACAUGGAUUAAUAUCCCAUAGUAUAAAGAACAGGCAUUUGUUUUUUAUUAAAGCUCCGGCGGUUUAAGAUGGGCAUGCGCGUCAUUAGCUAGAUGGAGAGGUAACGGCUCACCAUGGCAACGAUGACUAGGGGGUCUGAGAGGAUGUCCCCCCACACUGGUACUGAGACACGGACCAGACUCCUACGGGAGGCAGCAGUAGGGAAUAUUGGGCAAUGGACGCAAGUCUGACCCAGCCAUGCCGCGUGCAGGAAGACGGCCCUCUGGGUUGUAAACUGCUUUUAUCAGGGAAGAAACCCUUCUACGUGUAGGAGGCUGACGGUACCUGAGGAAUAAGGAUCGGCUAACUCCGUGCCAGCAGCCG
RNAcentral lists this ribosomal RNA (492 nucleotides) under uncultured bacterium. RNAcentral's name for it is "bacterial SSU rRNA". It matches the Rfam family "Bacterial small subunit ribosomal RNA", at positions 28 to 517 of the family's 1533-position model. The record is from RNAcentral.